Glycine soja is the source of this 1445-nucleotide RNA transcript. RefSeq lists it as uncharacterized. The transcript has 3 exons. NCBI's taxonomy places the organism in Eukaryota, Viridiplantae, Streptophyta, Magnoliopsida, Fabales, Fabaceae. The record is from RefSeq and is a predicted model, not a curated record.
ACAUUGUCCAAGUUAAAGAUGCAAAUUUUGGUUCUGUCUUUAUUUUUCUUUUUCAUGUAAGCAAAAGAACGAAUUAGAGUGGGAAGACGAUCCAACUCGGACCCGUUAUCUUCAUUCUAUUCAACCGAUCCUCUCUUUUUCUUGUCAAAGCAGAUAGGGCAUGGCAACAGAUGAAAAUGCUGACAUGUCAGAUGCGAAGUCCCAGUUGAGUCAAUUGCAUGAGACAUGGAAGCAGGAGAUUGCAAAAAGCCAAUCCCAAGUGGAUGUAUUGCAAAAAGAACUUACAGAGUUAAAGUCUUGCAAUCAGGCUUCAGAUGGAAAUGCAAAAAAGGAGUUGGAGGUUCUUUGGCGAAGAGUCAAGACUGCUUCUACAUUGUUGACUUACUUAAAAUCAAAAGCUAGGCUCAUGGCUGUUCCUCAUCUAGCCCAUACAUCUUGUGGCAUCAAACAAUUAGAGGGGGUAGGCUUUGUUGACAAAAAUGGGAUACCAUUAUCUGGUUGGUCCAGCAAUGUUGAUCUUUCUUCAUUUGAUGACGCAGAUGAAGAAUCUUGGAUAGGAAUUAGGCAUCAGUAUGGUUCCUUAGAUGAACAAGAUGCAGCUUAUAUAGGUGAAAUGCUCAAGUCUGUACAGAUGGUCGCAGAUGUAAUGGAGGCCCUUGUCAAAAGGGUUGUAUUGGCUGAGUCAGAAACUGCAACAGAGAAGGAAAAAGUAAGUAUAAGUAAGGAAGAAAUUAAGCGGAAGUCUACCCAGUUAGAGAACAUGUCUAUGAAAUUACAGGAGAUGGAGCAUUUUGCUUUGAAUACAAAUAGUAUCCUAACUGAGAUGCGGCAGAGAGUUGAGGACUUGGUGGAAGAAACAACCAGACAGAGAGAACGAGCUGCUGAAAAUGAAGAAGAACUUUCUAGAGUGAAGCAGGAAUUUGAGUCUCUGAAAUCAUAUGUUAGUGGUCUAAUAACAGUAAGAGAAACCUUGCUUUCUUCAGAGAAGCAAUUUCAAACUAUUGAGAGGCUGUUUGAAAAGCUAGUUGCAAAGACUACUCAAUUAGAGGGUGAGAAAAUGCAGAAAGAGGCUGAAGUUCAGAAACUUAUGGAAGAGAAUGUCAGGUUGAAUGCACUGUGAUGCUCAACUUCUUGCAUUGAAUGAACAAUGUAAGGUAAUGGCCUUGAACGCUUCAAACAUGUAAAUGCCAAUGCACGUGACAGACUAGUUGCUUUGCGUUUUAUGCUGACCACUGGAGGCACUAAAAAGAAGGUUUAUCCAUAAACAUCAUUAAUGCCUUAAGUUUUAUUUUCUGGUGCCAUUUGUUGUUAAAAUUGAACGCAGAAAAAUACUUGUGCUUGGAAUGUAAACUUGGCUUGCUCUUUCACGGGGAAGAAAAAAAAAUGAGAAUGGGGUGUCUCUUUGCUGUAAAUGUUGGAGACCGAAUCACGAACCUCACAUCACA